This 373-nucleotide long non-coding RNA is filed under the name Oryza brachyantha (malo sina). Its description in RNAcentral is "long non-coding RNA (OBRA_LNC000168)". Lineage: Eukaryota; Viridiplantae; Streptophyta; Magnoliopsida; Poales; Poaceae. The record is from RNAcentral.
UGGAGCAGGAGGCGCCCAUGCCGCAGCUAGAUGGACCGCGCCGCCGUGCCGUGCGGUGCGCGUCCGCGUCCUCGGCACCACCUGCCCAUCAAACGGGUCAGAUCAAAUGAAACACUCCCGGGUCAGAUCGGAGCAAACGAACGACACGGCGCCGGUAGUGGAAAGCGCCGCCGACCCCAUCACUGGGAGCUCGGCGAAGCCGGGGAUGAGCUGGACCUGGACGUCCCCGGCGGAGGAGGAGGAGGUGGCGGGGCACGGUAAGCGCCGAGUGAGGUAGGACAGCAGGUGGCCUCGUCGGAGAGACGCGCGCGGCGGGGGAGAGCGGGGGAAGGGGAGGGAGGAGAGGUCGUAGAUGGGCGUCGGUGGAGUUGAC